CACAGGUAUAUGAUAACACAGAUGCUCUUCAAUUUACUAUGGUGUUACAUCCUGAUGGGCCCAUCUAAGAUUAAAGAUAAGUAAAAAAUGCACAUGAUCCCUGUAACCUACUGAACAUCCUGGCUCAGCAGCAAAGCACACUAUAGAGUUUCUCUUAUAACCCUCCAGGGCUGACUGGGAGCUGAGGUCACUGCUACUGCCCAGCACAGCAAGAGAGGACGAGACCCGGAGGAGCUUGCCAGGGAAAGAUCCAAAUUCAAAAUUCCGAGGACGGUUCCUACUGAAUGUGUAACACGUUUGCACCAUCGUGAAGUUGAAAAAUCAUAAGUGGAAUCUUGUUAUGUUGGGGACACUCUGUGUAAUAAUAUUCCUUGUCGUUCCAUGUUUGAAACGAAGUCCACUAACAGUGGGACUUCUGUCACCAGAUUCACCCCUUUUGGAAAGCAAAUUUCAUUAGCUUAUUUCUGGGGUGGCCCAGAUCCCUGGGGUGCGGAUGCAGCUGGGGAACUGGCUACAGACAGAAGCGGGACAAAACCCUUGGCUGUUGACAGAUUGUACCAGCACUGGUCCCCUGCUUUGAAGACCACGGGGUAAGCUGAAAAGACUGCUUCAUUAAUCCUAAAGCUGCCGCUCUCAUGCUGAAUCGUGAUUCACAUGGAGGUAAAUGUGUAACUGGUAUGGUUUUAGGAAACAUGUUUGCAUUUUUAGUUCUAAAGGGAAAUACUGGCAAUCUUUUUUUAAAUUUCUGACCCCUGCCUUUGUUUGUUUUUGUAAUACUCAAUGUUUAUGUACAUCAUAAUUUUUUGUGCAUAUCAAUUGUAAAAAAAAAAAAAGUUUUGAUGUGAUGUUUCCAUACAUUUGUAUAACAUGCUUUGAUCAUAUCCACCCUCCCUAUUAUGAUCUAGUCCCCUUCCCUAAUCAUCCUCUUCCUACUUUCACGAUGUCUUUUUAAAAUUUUCCUUCCA
This 965-nucleotide long non-coding RNA is filed under the name Marmota monax (woodchuck). Lineage: Eukaryota; Metazoa; Chordata; Mammalia; Rodentia; Sciuridae. The record is from RNAcentral.